Molecule: ribosomal RNA, 277 nt
Filed under: uncultured bacterium
Lineage: Bacteria
Description: partial 16S ribosomal RNA
Rfam family: Bacterial small subunit ribosomal RNA
Source: RNAcentral
GAUAAACGCUGGCGGCGUGCCUUACACAUGCAAGUCGAGCGGGGCGCCAGGCUUCGGCCUGGAGCCUAGCGGCGAACGGGUGAGUAACACGUGGGUGACCUGCCCGGAAGUGGGGGAUAACCCCGGGAAACCGGGGCUAAUACCGCAUGUGGUCACCGGGGACGGCCCGGUGAUUAAAGCCGCAAGGCGCUUCCGGAGGGGCCCGCGGCCUAUCAGCUAGUUGGUGGGGUAACGGCCCACCAAGGCGACGACGGGUAGCUGGUCUGAGAGGACGGCC